RNAcentral lists this ribosomal RNA (469 nucleotides) under uncultured bacterium. RNAcentral describes it as "partial 16S ribosomal RNA". It matches the Rfam family "Bacterial small subunit ribosomal RNA", at positions 28 to 507 of the family's 1533-position model. The record is from RNAcentral.
GACGAACGCUGGCGGCGUGCUUAACACAUGCAAGUCGAACGGUGAAGCGAGUGCUUGCCCUCGUGGACGAGUGGCGCACGGGUGAGUAACACGUGAGUAACCUGCACAUCACUCUGGGAUAAGCACUGGAAACGGUGUCUAAUACUGGAUACGACAAACCCUUGCAUGGGGUGUUGGUGGUAAGAUUUAUCGGUGAUGGAUGGACUCGCGGCCUAUCAGCUUGUUGGCGGGGUAAUGGCCCACCAGGUCGCCGACGGGUAGCCGACCUGAGAGGGUGACCGGCCACACUAGUACUGAGACACGGCCCAGACUCCUACGGGCGGCAGCAGUGGGAAAUAUUGCGCAGUGGGCGAGAGCCUGAUGCAGCGACGCCGCGUGAGGGAUGACGUCCUUCGGGUUGAAAACCUCUUUCAGCAGGGAAGAAGCGAAAUUGACGGUACCUGCAGAAGAAGCACCGGCUAACUACGUG